AUGACAGGCUCUUCAAGGAAGAUGCUGGUGACAAGAAACAUUCAAGCAGAAGCGUUUGUAUUUGGAGUUCCUUUUUCUUUUAUGAUGUAAUUAUCUUUAUGCUCUGAUGAAAAGUGUUCUUCUGACUCUCUCAAUAGUCUGUAGGAGUGAGAAAUAGCAAAGACAUUUAUAUCACUGUUAUGCUUGAAAAUCAUAAUUAUUUGAAAAUGUUGACAGGACUGAUCGUCACUUAAACUUGAAUCUCCUUUUUAUUGCACUUACAAUGUAAAGACAAUCAAGCAUUAAGUAAGAAUUGGAAUUGAUAAACAUUGAAUAUGCAUCAGUACAUAAGAGCCUCACAGAAGUCCAAGUGAGGGAUUCAGACCAUUACUUCCUUCUGGUUGUGUGUGUCUGAAGUGGAGGCAGAAACGUUCAGUUCACCAUACAAGUCAGGGGAAUAACACCACAUCCUCCCACAAGAGGUCAAAGUCUGGUACUAGGCCACAGAAACCUCCUUGGAAAAAACAUGUGGUGGCUCGAAGACUGGGUGUUAACCACAGAAGCAAAAAGGAAAAUGGUGGGAGAUUAUUAUUACAGCUAAACUUCAUGCUUUAGCAUUUAUUUUGAAUCACCCAUACUGAAAUACGUUCAUGAACAACAACAAACCUUACUCAGAAGAUAGAAAAGUUUGCUGACUUCUAAUGACUGAGUAAACAGUUUGUUUUACAUAAUCUGGGAAGACCGAACUAUUUCACCUGGGUUUUCAGCUUGUAUUACAAAAAAUCAGCUGCGCUAACUCAGCUGUGAUGUUUCUCCCUACUAGCCCCCCUUUAUUUUCCCCAUGCAGUAUCUGGGAAUAUGUACAAAUGUAGCACUGCUUUGAAGAACCUUCGGUAACAGGAAACAAAAGUCAUGUCCUGUAUUUUACUGAUACAGACAUCCUCUGUGAUUUCUAUCUACAGAUUAUUGAUCCUCCAGAUAUCCUUUGGCUCCAUGUUUCCCAGCUCUCAGCCACCAGGGAUAAAACCUAGAUGAGAUCCUCAGACUGCCUUACAACACCUUUUGAAAAGAGUUGAGCAGCUUCUACUAUGAUUUGAAAGUCAGUCUAUUUAUCAUAAAUUAGCACAGCGUUUUUACUCCAAUACGUCUUAUUCCAAAGAUACCUUGGUCACCUCUGAU
This 1158-nucleotide long non-coding RNA is filed under the name Anas platyrhynchos platyrhynchos (common mallard). RNAcentral's name for it is "lncRNA (ENSAPLG00000016834.1)". Lineage: Eukaryota; Metazoa; Chordata; Aves; Anseriformes; Anatidae. The record is from RNAcentral.